Molecule: long non-coding RNA, 259 nt
Filed under: Elaeis guineensis (African oil palm)
Lineage: Eukaryota; Viridiplantae; Streptophyta; Magnoliopsida; Arecales; Arecaceae
Description: long non-coding RNA (EGUI_LNC014457)
Source: RNAcentral
UUGGGGAAGUCAUACCUUGUCUCUUUGAUUUCCACUUUAUGAUUAGUGCCAUGGGACAUGUGGCAAAAAAAGGAAGCGAUGUCCAAUUGAUCUCCUCCCACGCAAAGGAUAUUUGUUCCUAAUUGAGCAUCGCUUUUGUUUGGAGUUAUGAAGAGAAAUGCUUGCUCUAAUGCACAUAAAUGGUGGUUAAUUGAAUUUUUUUUUAUUUUUGAGUGAAAUAUAGAUGUUGUAACUAUUGGAUGUAUGUUCUAAAAGUCAG